Long non-coding RNA from Arvicola amphibius (Eurasian water vole), 1920 nucleotides. RefSeq lists it as uncharacterized. NCBI's taxonomy places the organism in Eukaryota, Metazoa, Chordata, Mammalia, Rodentia, Cricetidae. The transcript has 3 exons. The record is from RefSeq and is a predicted model, not a curated record.
UUUAUUUAUAUAUUUUUAUCUUAUAUGUAUGAAUGUUGUACCUGCAUAUAAGUAUAUUCAGCACAUGCUUGCAGUUCGCCCAGAGGCAAGAAGAGGUUUUCCGAGUCCCUGGAACCAGAGUUGCACUGACUGGGUUGUAACUGCAGUCCUGUGGCACUUCCACAUCAGAGGAAAGAGGAGGGUAUUGCUUCAUGAGUGAAUGGUGGCUUUACACCUUCAUCACUGUAUUGGCCUCCGCAAAUCUCUGAAUCUCCAGAGAAACUUCAUGUAAUUUCUGGUCAAGACUGGGAUUUGGGUUCUGAGCAGGACUUCAUUGUUGCCUUCUGGCCUGGGAAGGGCAUCACUGAACAGAAACACAUCCAGCUGGAUGGAAGAGGUUGCUGCAAACAGAGUUAUAACCAGCAAAGGAUCCAAGUACUCAGUCACAAAAACCAGGAACAGAGACUUUGGGUAUAGAGCAGUAGCAGGGAGUUUUUUUCAACCCACACAGUCACUUAGUGGAUCCACCUGAGCUGCAGGGUGGCAUAGCGGCUUUUCCUACAUCCACCUUCAGGAGGCAGGUGGGGUCAGCUGUCUGCAGGGGAGGAGGGAUACAUGGCAUAGUGUACAGACUGCUAGUUGUUAGGGAACAGAAAUGGGUGAAUGUCACCGCAGAAAAAUACCUCUGCAGCCUUGAAUGCAACUGAGCGACUUUCACAUGUCCUCAGCAACAACAUGGCAGCUCAGCCAUGCAGAUAUUAAAGCCAAAUGGAGGGAUUUGGGCUUCAUCUACUUGCUGUAUGUUGCAAAGGGAAGGCAGAAAUCAGUCUCUUCAACCAGCACAUGCUGAACCCUGCUAAGUGAUGCCAUCCCAAGGUGUGCUCAGAGGGCAAGGCUCAGCAAGGAAGGCCACCAUGGCCCACGCAGCUCACUUUUACUCAUGCACAGGUCAGUCAGCAAACCCACAGUGGCAUUCUUAAGCCCAAGGCCAUUCCCGUUUCUGGGAGAAACCUGAGCAGGCCCAUCUUGAGUGUGUCAGGGUCAGGACACAGCCUUCAUUCACUUGAGGAAGAGGGAAAAGCUCACAGGUACUACUAACUUUCUCUUCUUUUAAGGUUGAUUUGUACUUAACGUGUGUGUGUGUGUGUGUGUGUGUGCAUGUUUUGUGAGUGUAUGUCACAGGUGUGUUGCUGUCCUUGGAGGCCAGAACAGAGAGGGGGUUUCCCUGAAGCUGAAUGUGCAGGUAGUUGGGAGCUCUCUGAUGUGUGUCCUGAGACUGGAACCCAGGUCCUCUGGAAGAGCAGGAGGUACUCACCUGCUGUGUCAUCUCUUCAGCUCUAGCUACAAACCUUCUUAUGAAUGGACAAGAUGCUUUCCCAAGCUACAGUUUUCUGUACAUUGUGCUUCCAUCUUUCAUGGAGGUGUCUAGAGCAGUGAGAACCUCCUAGAAUUAGCUAGAGGGUCCCCGAUUCUUACUUGCAAGAGGAGGAACACAGUCAGGCCUGUCAAUCUGCAUGUACUUGGGCAAAGACAUCCUGGAAGAUUAGACUCUGGGACACCCCGUGGUUGAUAUUUUGGGAUUUCUCUAGAUUGCAAUGACUUUACUAGAUCUCCUCAUAGGAGUAUAGAUGGCCCACAAACAGCUACACCCGAAAAAGUCCCAACCUAACGUGAAUGGCAACUUCCACAAAGCUUCAAAGAUGGGGUCUUCUCUUUAUUAACUUUCUACCCGCUACAUGCUCUAGUACCUCCUGAGACCACAUGCAGCUGGGAAGGAAGGGUGGCAAGAGGGAGUAAGUGACUCUAGUCUGAGAAGAGGAUCAGAUGACCCCAGCCCCAACCCCUGCGAAUGAGUGCUCAGAAUCCCAACCUUGGCAAACAGACACAGCUGCAGUGGUGAAGGGGAUAUGAUAGCCAUGCUCUGCCCAGAGGAUCGCAAUC